CAGCCGCCGCGGUAAUACGAAGGGGGCUAGCGUUGCUCGGAAUGACUGGGCGUAAAGGGCGCGUAGGCGGCUUGUACAGUCAGAUGUGAAAUUCCUGGGCUCAACCUGGGGACUGCAUUUGAUACGUACGGGCUUGAGUGGAGAAGAGGGUUGUGGAAUUUCCAGUGUAGAGGUGAAAUUCGUAGAUAUUGGAAAGAACACCGGUGGCGAAGGCGGCAACCUGGUCUUUAACUGACGCUGAGGCGCGAAAGCGUGGGGAGCAAACAGGAUUAGAUACCCGCGUAGUCCCUGUCUCUUAUAC
Molecule: ribosomal RNA, 301 nt
Filed under: uncultured bacterium
Lineage: Bacteria
Description: partial 16S ribosomal RNA
Rfam family: Bacterial small subunit ribosomal RNA
Source: RNAcentral